This 471-nucleotide ribosomal RNA is filed under the name uncultured bacterium. RNAcentral describes it as "bacterial SSU rRNA". It matches the Rfam family "Bacterial small subunit ribosomal RNA", at positions 335 to 801 of the family's 1533-position model. The record is from RNAcentral.
ACUCCUACGGGAGGCAGCAGUGGGGAAUAUUGCACAAUGGGCGCAAGCCUGAUGCAGCCAUGCCGCGUGUAUGAAGAAGGCCUUCGGGUUGUAAAGUACUUUCAGCAGUGAGGAAGGUGGAUAUGUUAAUAGCAUAUUCAUUUGACGUUAGCUGCAGAAGAAGCACCGGCUAACUCCGUGCCAGCAGCCGCGGUAAUACGGAGGGUGCGAGCGUUAAUCGGAAUUACUGGGCGUAAAGCGCAUGCAGGUGGUUUGUUAAGUCAGAUGUGAAAGCCCGGGGCUCAACCUCGGAAUUGCAUUUGAAACUGGCAAACUAGAGUACUGUAGAGGGGGGUAGAAUUUCAGGUGUAGCGGUGAAAUGCGUAGAGAUCUGAAGGAUACCAGUGGCGAAGGCGGCCCCCUGGACAAGACUGACGCUCAGAUGCGAAAGCGUGGGGAGCAAACAGGAUUAGAUACCCUGGUAGCUACGAG